This 549-nucleotide ribosomal RNA is filed under the name bacterium LO391. RNAcentral's name for it is "bacterial SSU rRNA". It matches the Rfam family "Bacterial small subunit ribosomal RNA", at positions 356 to 895 of the family's 1533-position model. The record is from RNAcentral.
UGGGAAUAUUGGACAAUGGGGGGAACCCUGAUCCAGCCAUGCCGCGUGUGUGAAGAAGGCCUUUUGGUUGUAAAGCACUUUAAGCGAGGAGGAGGCUACUCUGAUUAAUACUCGAGAGAUAGUGGACGUUACUCGCAGAAUAAGCACCGGCUAACUCUGUGCCAGCAGCCGCGGUAAUACAGAGGGUGCGAGCGUUAAUCGGAUUUACUGGGCGUAAAGCGUGCGUAGGCGGCUUUUUAAGUCGGAUGUGAAAUCCCUGAGCUUAACUUAGGAAUUGCAUUCGAUACUGGGAAGCUAGAGUAUGGGAGAGGAUGGUAGAAUUCCAGGUGUAGCGGUGAAAUGCGUAGAGAUCUGGAGGAAUACCGAUGGCGAAGGCAGCCAUCUGGCCUAAUACUGACGCUGAGGUACGAAAGCAUGGGGAGCAAACAGGAUUAGAUACCCUGGUAGUCCAUGCCGUAAACGAUGUCUACUAGCCGUUGGGGCCUUUGAGGCUUUAGUGGCGCAGCUAACGCGAUAAGUAGACCGCCUGGGGAGUACGGUCGCAAGACU